UAGUACAUAUAUCAUGGACUUAAGUCUUAAAUAACCUUAAAAGAAAGAAAAAAAAAAGUUCAAUUAUUAGAGAUGACAAAUAUUAGGGGAUUGAGUUUAACCAUUUUGUUAAUUAGUGUUGUUUUAGCUUCUACCCUCCUACAUGGAGCUUUUGGAAGUAUUGACCCCUUUCAGGCAGCUUUAGUUCAUUGCAAUGCUGGCCCUAUUGAAAAACAAAAUUGUUGCAAAGCACUAAGUGUUGCUGUAAACAAUGAGAGAUUUUGCUGGUCUUCUUUGUUUGGACAGAUUUUUGUUGCUGAUCUUAUUAAUUGUCGUGUUAUUCCAAAGUGCUAAAGUACUUGCCUAACAACAAAAGAAUGUCAAACAAGAAAUCAAUUAGCUGGUGUUUUGACAUUGAUUUUCUACUAUUUCUAGAGAGGGAAAAAAAAAACAAAGAAUGAAAAGUUGAGUGUUA
This is a long non-coding RNA of Solanum lycopersicum (tomato), 454 nucleotides long. RefSeq lists it as uncharacterized. Lineage: Eukaryota; Viridiplantae; Streptophyta; Magnoliopsida; Solanales; Solanaceae. The record is from RefSeq and is a predicted model, not a curated record.